AGCGACUUGAAGAGAUUAUGAGAAGAACCAGGAGGAUGGAGGCAGCCGAUAAGAAAACCACUGAGCAAAGAAAUGGUGAUGUAGCCAAAGGAGUUCUCGCUGGAGAGACAGAGGUGUCUGCACUGCCACAGAUGAACUCUCCAGGAAACGGAGAGUCUGCAGAGAGCCCACGAGGAGUCGCUUCACAGCUGUCCAAAGGAACCAC
Molecule: long non-coding RNA, 205 nt
Organism: Apodemus sylvaticus (European woodmouse)
Lineage: Eukaryota; Metazoa; Chordata; Mammalia; Rodentia; Muridae
Exons: 3
Source: RefSeq, a predicted model, not a curated record